Molecule: transfer-messenger RNA, 472 nt
Filed under: Patescibacteria group
Lineage: Bacteria
Also listed under: 1 other name
Description: PDTW01 sp002749055 Standard tmRNA
Rfam family: transfer-messenger RNA
About the family: Bacterial tmRNA, also known as 10Sa RNA or SsrA, is named for its dual tRNA and mRNA-like properties. Its role is to liberate the mRNA from a stalled ribosome. To accomplish this part of the tmRNA is used as a reading frame that ends in a translation stop signal.
Source: RNAcentral
GGGGCUAAUAUGGUUUCUAUUAGGAGAAUCAGUUAGUUUUAUAUGCUAUCAGGGAGAUGUCUUUGAACUUCCUUAAUCAAACAAGGACUAGCAUAACUGCUAACAGAACAUACAGAGGUUUCGCUUCUUCUCUUAAAAAAGUAGCAACUGGAUUUAGAAGUAUAACUUCUCCAGUAGCAGUAAUGGCAUAAGCUAUGUUUCUGCAGUAGUCUUUCCAAGUGAAUGAGCGCCGAAUGGCCUACUACACAUUUGAAGAAAAUUUAACUAAAGAAGUUUCUUUAAAUUACUAAAAUUUAGUCUAAUAUUUUUUGUAUUAAAACUUUUCUUGGAAAUAUUAGUAUUUAAUAGAAAGUUUUUUCUAUAAAGAUUUUUGUUUAUUUUCAACUUUUUAGAAUAUUUAAAAUGAAAUAUGAUAGUAGAUGUAUAAUUCUAGCCUCCUAAGACGAGGGUUCGAUACCCUCUAGCUCCACCA